Molecule: transfer RNA, 64 nt
Filed under: Bothridium pithonis
Lineage: Eukaryota; Metazoa; Platyhelminthes; Cestoda; Diphyllobothriidea; Diphyllobothriidae
Description: tRNA-Phe
Source: RNAcentral
UUUCUUUUAGCUUAAGUUUAAAGCAUUAGUUUGAAGAGCUAGGGAUAACGUAUGUUGAAGAGGC